Dermacentor andersoni is the source of this 1677-nucleotide non-coding RNA. The record is from RefSeq and is a predicted model, not a curated record. NCBI's taxonomy places the organism in Eukaryota, Metazoa, Arthropoda, Arachnida, Ixodida, Ixodidae.
UGGUGUAGAACUUUGUGGAAGGCACGCGGGUCCGAACGAUUAGCCUGGACCAUUGGAAGACUGUUCUAUAAAAGCCGGCGCGCUUGACCCGCUGAUCAGAUUUCCGACGAUCGCCGACCGUGUUCGCCGCUAUCGUUGGGCUGUAAGUGUAGCCUGUUUUUGUGGGCACAGGUUCGCCCAAUAAAAGCUAGUUUUGUAUUCCACCGUAUUGCUGCUUUCUUCAACGUCACUACCACGUGACAAUAUAAACCUCACUUCAAUGUUGUGUCCGUAACUUGUGGAGGAUGGAAGACACUGCGCUAUAUUUUCUUUUUUGGGGGGGGGGGCGCCACUUUUAAUUUUUAUAUUUUUUUCGUUGCAUAGAACGUGCAAAUCGGUUGAUAUGCACAUCAUCCGAAUUGCGCAUGGUUUCAAAUGUUACCUUUUCCUUCACCUCGAUUCAUUGGCCGAAUUUCGUUAUCCCUGCAUCACAAAAACGAGGGAGAUGGGCAGGACCGGGCAAGGCAAGGCAGCUUCUACGUCUUGUCGAGUCUUACUGACCCUGCCCUGCUGCAUUGCGAGCGCAAAACAAGAAGCAACUCGAGUGACCACGGCAACUUUUCCAGCUCGAUGAUCGGCUGUCCUACCACUAAAAGCCGAGGGUAAGAGGCGGGUGCGGCUGGUUCGCUGCAGCUUCAUAGAAUAACAAUUCAGCACUGCUUGUUAUUUAGCACUGUCAAUGUGUGUAUGCGUUCAAUUUCCGUUCGGAAGGCAAGCAAAAUAAUGACUUAAACGCAGGAAUUGGAAUGUCAGGCGGCAUAACAAUAUCUCUCAUGUUAGGACGGGAAUAUUUUACAAAGCGGGGAUGAGGGUGUAAUAAGGGUGUAAUGACGUGGAUUCUGUGCUGAGGGUGAGGGUGGAAAACAAACUACUGAGGGCAUCUGUCCACCGCUACUGGUGCCAAUGUCAUCGUAGGUUCAGUUCUAGGCCAUAGCCAGCCCAUGUAUAGGAAGGUACAGUGCCAAAAGGCUCAGACGUAAUGCCAAGGAAUAAUUUAAACUUCAAAUUGUCAAAAACACAACCAGCAAUGUGGACAUCUUUUCCUUUUCUUUCGCAGGCCUUCUCUGGGUCGUGUAACCAUGACAAUCAUUCCAGAAGGAAACCUUCCAAGGCAGCUCUCGUAUCGAGUUUCUUCAACAGAACAAAGGAGUCAGACAUCGUCCGGGCAUACGGAAGCAUACCAAGGCACACGGACGUCCUGGGCUUCGCAUCGACAGCGACUCGACGCCGACCACGGGCCGUGCAAGAACUGACUACACCUCGUCAACGGUAGGCGAGAACACCCGUGAACCUGACGGCGCCUCCAUGGCCGAAGUCCAAAGCAACGCGGUUUACAAUUCAAAUCUCAACGGCCCUCACGUUUGCGGCCAAUGCGGGACGACCUUCAGCCGCCUGCAUCACUUCCGCAGGCACCUGGCCAUGCACCUGUACUGGGAAGCAAUCGACGAGGAACGCGGUGCAAAAGUCGAGGAGAAGGCGGAGCCACUGGACCACCAGCAACUCCACGACAAAGGUAAAAAAAAAAAAUAUUUCGAAACUCCUGACAAUGGACGGAGAUGCGAUGGCUGGUGUCUUUGCCGCUUUGUAAUGGGGUCGCUGUAGUUUCCCCCUGCGUUGUCAAAACAAAAAGAAUAUAUA